AGCUGAUCCAGUGGCAGUGGGUUAUCAAUGCGAAUAUUCCUAUCACUCAAGUUGUACACAGCUCCCACUACCAAAUUUGACUGGAUUGGG
Molecule: non-coding RNA, 90 nt
Filed under: Meriones unguiculatus (Mongolian gerbil)
Lineage: Eukaryota; Metazoa; Chordata; Mammalia; Rodentia; Muridae
Source: RNAcentral